GAUGAAGAACGUAGCGAAAUGCGAUACUUGGUGUGAGUUGCAGAAUCCCGUGAACCAUCGAGUCUUUGAACGCAAGUUGCGCCCGAAGCCACUAGGCCGAGGGCACGCCUGCCUGGGCGUCACACGUCGUUGCCCCCCCCCCCCCAUCUACUCCUUCGGGAUUGCGGGGGGCGGAUGAUGGCCUCCCGUGCGCCUAGCCGCGCGGUUGGCAUAAAUACCAAGUCCUCGGCGACGCACGCCACGACAAUCGGUGGUUGCGAAACCUCGGUUGCCCGUCGUGUGCGUUCGUCGCGCAUCGAGGGCUCGAAAAAAUGCUCGGCUCCGGCUCGGCUUUCAACGCGACCCCAGGUCAGGCGGGGUUACCCGCUGAAUUUAAGCAUAUCAAUAAGCGGAGGA
Molecule: unclassified non-coding RNA, 396 nt
Filed under: soil metagenome
Description: partial contains 5.8S ribosomal RNA, internal transcribed spacer 2, and large subunit ribosomal RNA
Rfam family: 5.8S ribosomal RNA (bases 1-122)
Source: RNAcentral